This 328-nucleotide ribosomal RNA is filed under the name uncultured bacterium. Its description in RNAcentral is "bacterial SSU rRNA". It matches the Rfam family "Bacterial small subunit ribosomal RNA", at positions 568 to 898 of the family's 1533-position model. The record is from RNAcentral.
CGUGUAGGCGGUGCGGUAAGUUGGGCGUGAAAUCCCCGAGCUUAACUCGGGUGGGCCGUUCAAGACUGCCGUGCUAGGGUGCGGGAGAGGGAAGUGGAAUUUCCGGUGUAGCGGUGAAAUGCGUAGAUAUCGGGAGGAACACCUGCGGCGAAGGCGGCUUCCUGGACCGUAACCGACGCUGAGACGCGAAAGCUAGGGGAGCAAACAGGAUUAGAUACCCUGGUAGUCCUAGCCCUAAACGAUGAGCACUGGGUGUGGCCCCUCACGGGGCCGUGCCGAAGCUAACGCAUUAAGUGCUCCGCCUGGGGAGUACGGUCGCAAGGCUGAA